AAAAAAGUUUGUUUGGGUUUUU
RNAcentral lists this microRNA (22 nucleotides) under Bos taurus (domestic cattle). RNAcentral's name for it is "bta-miR-2284z". Lineage: Eukaryota; Metazoa; Chordata; Mammalia; Artiodactyla; Bovidae. The record is from miRBase by way of RNAcentral.